GUCUAACUCUGUAUUACGGUAUAUUUGACCCUUAAUUAAUUUUACGCCGGAAUAUCCCUUUAAGGAGCUGUGAAUAAGCUUGUUGCCAAAAUGUCAAAUUAUUCUUUUAAUGAUGUGUCUUUUCAUGCGGCACUCAUUCAACAGUCAGCGCAGGACUGUGCAGGAUUUUAUCACAGGUAUGUGCAAGGUGACAUCUUUAUCCUACCCGGCACAACCGCCCUAAAUUUGUCUCCCCCCAGUGGAUAGCAUUUACUUCAAAUUUCUGACCCUGAUACAGCAACUCCUGUGGGAAAGGGUUUCACUUUGCUGACGGCUGAAGAAUUAUUUACAACACCAGAGCGCUCUGAUAUCUCAAACAGUGUCAGCUCUAGCAGGAAAACACUCCUCUCCCACAGCCUCUACUUGGUUUAUAGGGAGAGAAAACAUCCGUGAGCUGCUUUAAAUCUAAAGGAAGAGCUCCAGCGUGAGUCCCGCAGGUGAACCUCCCCUGAGUCAUCAGGAGUAACAGUAUGUUCUCACCAGCCUUGCGUCCCAUGACUGGAUGAAUUGAAUAAAAUGCAUUAUUCUGUGCUUCUGGGGCUGCGCCUCAUGUUCUGCAAGGCUCUCCUCUUUUUUUUUCCAUCCAGCUCUCCAGAAACUACAACAUUUAUAUCCGCCUGCAUCAUUUAUCAAAAAGGAAUCUGUUAAGAAAGCAUUCCAGUAUGCAACUAAAUAUCUCAGCUGCAAACAUUUGUCGCCGAGCUGUGUUUUCUUUUUUUUAUGUAGAGCUUUCAGGAAGGAUUUCUUUCACUGCUCUUAUGCAUAAGCUGAUAUUAAACAACCUGGACCUCUUCACACAUACACACACACACAGACACACACAGGAACAUUUUUGAGUGAACAAGGUGUGAGCACCGACUGUGCUAGAUCAUACCAUCGCGGCGAUAUGCGCCCAUGCUGGUCGACAUAUGUCCCCGUGGCUCCAGGUCUCAUCCUGAGAUGAUACGAGGGGCAGUCUGGUUUUUAGCUCGCAUCUCAUUAGGCCGCUGGUCUGAACACACUUAGCAUCAAAUGUAUGUGUGUGUGUGUGUAUCUGUGUGUGCAGUGAUAACAUGAUGGAGUGUGUGUUUCAGAUGACCGCCUGAGGUAUUUCCCAUCUGCUCAAUGUAGCAUUUACACCCUCUCCUGUUUGUUUGUGAGAAAAGUGUGAGCACAAAAGCAAACUAUGAGCAUGUGUGUAUGUGACUGUGUAUAUGUGUGUAUUUCAGUCUCUUAUCAAGCCAUUCCUGCGGCCAUAAAUGCACACUUCUCAGUGCGCAAGCUGUCAUACCUCAUGCAUUAUCAACCAGUACAUUGACAUGGCAUAUUAAACCUCCCCUGCUGCUUUUUUUUCUUUUUCACACCAUGUUUAUCUUCAUCACGUGACCAAAGUGAAAUGUAAGGAGUCCACAGUUAAGGGUUUCCUUUGAGGGAUGCCAAACAGGAGUUCUCAUCACGACCUCUGACACUAAAAUGACGCAGUGAUCGCACUGAUGCUUAUCCAGACUGCGGACGCAUGCUGUACACUUGUCUUCCUGCUUCCUCUGAGGCGAUUUAAAGUGCAGAGGAAUCAAGGAGUCAAGAUGCUCGGCCUCUUAUUGGGGCACGGGGAGCUGUUUAUGUGUCCGUGUGUGUGUGUCCGAGGCGUUGAAUAAUUGAUGAGAAGCAGCGCAUGUACACAAACUCCAUCUGUGGACCUGAGCUGAUAAGAAUCACGGCGGUCCAUGAAAUUGGUUGCUUCCUUUCCCUGCGAGGUUGCUGGAGAUUCAAAACGUGGGGGAGGGAUUAGUUUUACGUGUUUGCAUCCAGCAACUCGAGACGAACAGCUGGUAUCAGUCUUCUCAGCUAACUUGUAAAACAACUUUUAAGCGAAUCUUGGUAAAAGAAGUCAUUUUGGACACCUGAAGGUUUAUUUUUGCCUUCUACGCUCUCUCUCUCUUUUACACUCACACUAACCAAGCCAUGUUUGAACUGAAUGUUCUCUUUCUGCACAUUUUAAAGGCCUGCUUCAUCAUAUUACACAUUCGAGACAGUUUCAGUGUCACACAUUUAGCCUGCACACAAGACUUUUUAUUGUUAACACCACACAACACUCACAAAGCACUUGCAAUAUGUAUCUGUUCUGUCACAUAUAGUAUACUCGGUUGUACCAAUGAUGUUUUCUUAUCUUCUUUUUCAUGAAGUAAUCAAAUUAUUUCUAUGAAUACAUGAAGAUUUUUCUCUAAGAGGAAGAAUCGACACACACUGACUGUUAACUGAUGACUUUUUUUUUCUUAUCUGAUCUCUGUGUGUACAAACUGCCUUCGUUCUUGUUGUAUAUUGUGUUGACUGACAAAAUUGCGUUCUGGUGCUGUUGUUGUUUGACUCUGUGUGCAGUUUAAAGACCUCCUUCAGAGCGGUCCGUGUGACUGGGCGACUCUGGAGGUUUCCGGUUUAGAACUGAAUAAAGAUUUUUUUUGGCAGC
This 2482-nucleotide long non-coding RNA is filed under the name Xyrichtys novacula (pearly razorfish). Lineage: Eukaryota; Metazoa; Chordata; Actinopteri; Labriformes; Labridae. The record is from RNAcentral.